This 268-nucleotide ribosomal RNA is filed under the name uncultured bacterium. RNAcentral describes it as "partial 16S ribosomal RNA". It matches the Rfam family "Bacterial small subunit ribosomal RNA", at positions 63 to 334 of the family's 1533-position model. The record is from RNAcentral.
CGAACGGCACCUAUCUUCGGAUAGAAGCGAGUGGCGAACGGCUGAGUAACACGUGGAGAACCUGCCCCCUCCCCCGGGAUAGCCGCCCGAAAGGACGGGUAAUACCGGAUACCCCGGGGUGCCGCAUGGCACCCCGGCUAAAGCCCCGACGGGAGGGGAUGGCUCCGCGGCCCAUCGGGUAGACGGCGGGGUGACGGCCCACCGUGCCGACAACGGGUAGCCGGGUUGAGAGACCGACCGGCCAGAUUGGGACUGAGACACGGCCCAG